This is a non-coding RNA of Stegodyphus mimosarum, 73 nucleotides long. NCBI's taxonomy places the organism in Eukaryota, Metazoa, Arthropoda, Arachnida, Araneae, Eresidae. The record is from Rfam.
GCCUUCGUGGUGCAGUGGUCAGCAUACUCGACGAGUAUUCGAGAGGUUUGUGGUUCGAGUCCCUGCGAGGACA